Molecule: ribosomal RNA, 313 nt
Filed under: uncultured Spirotrichea
Lineage: Eukaryota; Ciliophora; Spirotrichea
Description: SSU rRNA
Rfam family: Eukaryotic small subunit ribosomal RNA
Source: RNAcentral
UGCUGUUAGCCCACUUAUGGAAGGGCCGUAUUUAUUAGAUAACAGACCAAUAUUCUUCGUGUCUAUUGUGGUGAAUCAUAGUAACUAAUCGGAUCGUAUGGGCUAGUCCCUCGACAAACCAUUCAAGUUUCUGCCCCAUCAGCUUUCGAUGGUAGUGUAUUGGACUACCAUGGCUUUCACGGGUAACGGAGGAUUAGGGUUCGAUUCCGGAGAGGGAGCCUGAGAAACGGCUACCACAUCUAAGGAAGGCAGCAGGCGCGUAAAUUACCCAAUUCUGACUCAGAGAGGUAGUGACAAGAAAUACCGGGGCCGG